GUCAUUAUUUUCAUGCUUCA
RNAcentral lists this microRNA (20 nucleotides) under Ciona intestinalis (vase tunicate). Its description in RNAcentral is "cin-miR-4006a-1-3p". Lineage: Eukaryota; Metazoa; Chordata; Ascidiacea; Phlebobranchia; Cionidae. The record is from miRBase by way of RNAcentral.